CAAUGUUUGAUUUUCUGCCUUGGAUCACAGUGACACUGGUGUUCACUAGAUCAGUAACUCAGGGAGAAACGUGGAAGUCUGCGUCCUGUAAUCCCAGCACUUUGGGAGGCCAGGGUAGGUGGAUCAUGAGGUUAGGAGUUUGAGACCAGCCUGGCCAAGAUGGUGAAAACCCAUCUCUACUAAAAAUACAAAAAUUAGCAGGGUGUGGUGGCACACGCCUGUAAUCCCAGCUACUUGGGAGGCUGAGGCAGGAGAAUCGUUUGAACCCGGGAGGCGGAGGUUGCAGUGAGCCGAGAUCGUGUCAUUGCACUCCAGCCUGGGCGACAGGAUGAGACUCCAUCUCAAAAAAUAAUAAUAAUAAUGUUAAUAAUAAAAAAUAAUCUAUUGUUGAAUGUUUAACAUUGUUUCAAAUUUCUCACUUGGAAUGUUUCAUUCAUGAGUAUCUUCAUAUUAAUAAAUGUAUCUAAUAAACAUUCAUUUUGUGACCAUUGUGGACUACUAUUCUCAACAGUGGUGAUAUAGCAGUGAAAACAAAAUUUUUAACAACAACAAAAAAACUCUGCUCUUAUGGUAUUUUUAUUCUAGUGAGGGAGAUAAGAUAAACGUGUAAUAGUUGUUGAAUAUUAUCUAGUGAUAAGUGCUAGGAAGGAAAAGCA
Molecule: long non-coding RNA, 656 nt
Filed under: Pan troglodytes (chimpanzee)
Lineage: Eukaryota; Metazoa; Chordata; Mammalia; Primates; Hominidae
Description: long non-coding RNA NONPTRT017051
Source: RNAcentral